This 254-nucleotide ribosomal RNA is filed under the name uncultured bacterium. RNAcentral's name for it is "partial 16S ribosomal RNA". It matches the Rfam family "Bacterial small subunit ribosomal RNA", at positions 524 to 776 of the family's 1533-position model. The record is from RNAcentral.
UACGAAGGGGGCUAGCGUUGUUCGGAAUCACUGGGCGUAAAGCGCACGCAGGCGGAUCGUUAAGUCAGGGGGGAAAUCCCGAGGCUCAACCUCGGAACUGCCUUUGAUACUGGCGAUCUUUGAGUCCGGGAGAGGUGAGUGGAACUCCGAGUGUAGAGGUGAAAUUCGUAGAUAUUCGGAAGAACACCAGUGGCGAAGGCGGCUCACUGGCCCGGUACUGACGCUCAUGUGCGAAAGCGUGGGGAGCAAACAGG